AUUUGUCUGGUUAAUUCCGAUAACGAACGAGACCUUAACCUGCUAACUAGAUUCUUCUAUACUAUAGAUGAUAUCUUCUUAGAGGGACUAUGUAAUACAAAUACAUGGAAGUUUGAGGCAAUAACAGGUCAGUGAUGCCCUUAUAUGUCCUGGGCUGCACGCGUGCUACACUGAUGCAUACAACAAGUGCCUAACCAGACAUGGUAUGGCAAUCUCGAAUAUGCAUCGUGAUGGGGAUAGAUCUUUGCAAUUAUAGAUCUUGAACGAGGAAUUCCUAGUAAGUGCAAGUCAUCAUCUUGCAUUGAUUAUGUCCCUGCCCUUUGUACACACCGCCCGUCGCUCCUACCGAUACCGGGUGAUCCGGUGAACCUUUUGGACUCAUUUGGGAAAGAUAGGUAAACCAUAUCACCUAGAGGAAGGAGAAGUCGUAACAAGGUUUCCGUAGGUGAACCUGCRGAAGGAUCA
RNAcentral lists this ribosomal RNA (465 nucleotides) under uncultured ciliate. RNAcentral describes it as "SSU rRNA". It matches the Rfam family "Eukaryotic small subunit ribosomal RNA". The record is from RNAcentral. Lineage: Eukaryota; Ciliophora.